GCUGGGCAUGGUGGUGCAUGCCUGUAGUCCCAGCUACUUGGGAGGCUGAAGCAGGAGAAUCGCUUGAACCUGGGAAUUGGAAGUUACAGUGAGCCAAGACUGCGCCACUGCACUCCAGCCUGGGUGACAGAGUGAGACUCUGUCUCAA
Molecule: unclassified non-coding RNA, 148 nt
Organism: Pongo abelii (Sumatran orangutan)
Lineage: Eukaryota; Metazoa; Chordata; Mammalia; Primates; Hominidae
Rfam family: Metazoan signal recognition particle RNA
About the family: The signal recognition particle (SRP) is a universally conserved ribonucleoprotein. It is involved in the co-translational targeting of proteins to membranes.
Source: Ensembl